RNAcentral lists this ribosomal RNA (515 nucleotides) under uncultured bacterium. RNAcentral describes it as "bacterial SSU rRNA". It matches the Rfam family "Bacterial small subunit ribosomal RNA", at positions 15 to 518 of the family's 1533-position model. The record is from RNAcentral.
GAUCAUGGCUCAGGAUGAACGCUAGCUACAGGCUUAACACAUGCAAGUCGAGGGGCAGCAUGGUCUUAGCUUGCUAAGACUGAUGGCGACCGGCGCACGGGUGAGUAACGCGUAUCCAACCUGGCCCAUAGUAGGGAACAGCCCGGCGAAAGUCGGAUUAAUGCCCUAUGUUAUCCGUAGACGGCAUCAGAUGCGGAGCAAAGAUUUAUCGCUAUGGGAUGGGGAUGCGUCUGAUUAGGUAGUAGGCGGGGCAACGGCCCACCUAGCCGACGAUCAGUAGGGGUUCUGAGAGGAAGGUCCCCCACAUUGGAACUGAGACACGGUCCAAACUCCUACGGGAGGCAGCAGUGAGGAAUAUUGGUCAAUGGGCGUGAGCCCUGAACCAGCCAAGUAGCGUGAGGGAAGACGGCCCUACGGGUUGUAAACCUCUUUUGCCGGGGAAUAAAGUUCGGGACGCGUCCCGUUUUGUAUGUACCCGGAGAAUAAGGACCGGCUAAUUCCGUGCCAGCAGCCGC